CCUACGGGAGGCAGCAGUGAGGAAUAUUGGUCAAUGGUCGGGAGACUGAACCAGCCAAGCCGCGUGAGGGAUGAAGGUACAGAGUAUCGUAAACCUCUUUUGUCAGGGAACAAAGGCGGGGACGUGUCCCCGGAUGAGUGUACCUGAAGAAAAAGCAUCGGCUAACUCCGUGCCAGCAGCCGCGGUAAUACGGAGGAUGCGAGCGUUAUCCGGAUUUAUUGGGGUUAAGGGGUGCGCAGGCGGUCUGUUAAGUCAGCGGUCAAAGCCCGGGGCUCAACCCCGGCCCGCCGUUGAAACUGGCAGUCUUGAGUGGGAGAGAAGUAUGUGGAAUGCGCGGUGUAGCGGUGAAAUGCAUAGAUAUCGCGCAGAACUCCGAUUGCGAAGGCAGCAUGCCGGCUCCACACUGACGCUGAGGCACGAAAGCGUGGGUAUCGAACAGGAUUAGAUACCCUGGUAGUC
This 459-nucleotide ribosomal RNA is filed under the name uncultured bacterium. RNAcentral's name for it is "partial 16S ribosomal RNA". It matches the Rfam family "Bacterial small subunit ribosomal RNA", at positions 338 to 795 of the family's 1533-position model. The record is from RNAcentral.